UAGACGAUGGCCGAGUGGUUAAGGCGUUAGACUUGAAUUACCGAAGUUCAUGCCAUCUAAUGGAUUCGUCCUCGUAGGUUCAAAUCCUGCUCGUGUCG
Molecule: transfer RNA, 98 nt
Filed under: Exophiala xenobiotica
Lineage: Eukaryota; Fungi; Ascomycota; Eurotiomycetes; Chaetothyriales; Herpotrichiellaceae
Description: tRNA-Ser
Rfam family: tRNA
About the family: Transfer RNA (tRNA) molecules are approximately 80 nucleotides in length. Their secondary structure includes four short double-helical elements and three loops (D, anti-codon, and T loops). Further hydrogen bonds mediate the characteristic L-shaped molecular structure. tRNAs have two regions of fundamental functional importance: the anti-codon, which is responsible for specific mRNA codon recognition, and the 3' end, to which the tRNAs corresponding amino acid is attached (by aminoacyl-tRNA synthetases). tRNAs cope with the degeneracy of the genetic code in two manners: having more than one tRNA (with a specific anti-codon) for a particular amino acid; and 'wobble' base-pairing, i.e. permitting non-standard base-pairing at the 3rd anti-codon position.
Source: RNAcentral